AAGAGUUAGGGUCUUCUAGGCCCGAUCUCCCAACCCUUUGUUUAUUGAACCUCUGUUGCUUCGGCGGACCCGUCUCACGGCCGCCGGAGGACCGCCGAAAGGCGUCCUCUGGCCAGCGUCCGCCGAUAGCCAACCACUUAAACUCUGAAUGUUAGUGUCGUCUGAGUACUAUACAAUAGUUA
This 182-nucleotide unclassified non-coding RNA is filed under the name uncultured Cladophialophora. RNAcentral's name for it is "sequence contains ITS1". Lineage: Eukaryota; Fungi; Ascomycota; Eurotiomycetes; Chaetothyriales; Herpotrichiellaceae. The record is from RNAcentral.